ACUACGGGUGGCAGCAGUGGGGAAUAUUGCACAAUGGGGGAAACCCUGAUGCAGCAACGCCGCGUGAGUGAGGAAGUAUUUCGGUAUGUAAAGCCCUAUCAGCAGGGAAAAGAAAAGAAGGUACCUGAAAAAGAAGCCCCGGCUAACUACGUGCCAGCAGCCGCGGUAAUAGGUAGGGGGCACGCGUUAGCCGGAUUUACGGGGGGUAAAGGGAGCGUAGAGGGAAAGGCAAGGCAGAGGUGAAAACCCAAGGCUCAACCAUGGGACUGAUUUUGAAACUGGCAAACUAGAGUACGGGAGAGGUAAGAGGAAUUCCUAGUGUAGCGGUGAAAUGCGUAGAUAUUAGGAGGAACACCAGUGGCGAAGGCGUCUUACUGGACCGAAACUGACGUUGAGGCUCGAAAGCGUGGGGAGCAAACAGGAUUAGAUACCCUUGUAGUC
This 441-nucleotide ribosomal RNA is filed under the name uncultured bacterium. RNAcentral's name for it is "partial 16S ribosomal RNA". It matches the Rfam family "Bacterial small subunit ribosomal RNA", at positions 338 to 795 of the family's 1533-position model. The record is from RNAcentral.